GUGCACCAGUCGAGAAAACUUCACAAUGUGCGAAAGCACGAUGAGGGAAUCCCAAGUGCUUGCACGUAAGUGUAAGCUGUUUCUCUGUCUAAAACGCAGAGAGAGUAAGGGCUGGGUAAGACGGGUGCCAGCCGCCGCGGUAAUACCUGCAGCUCGAGUGGUGACCGUUAUUAUUGGGCCUAAAACGUCCGUAGCCGGUUUAAUAAAUGCCUGGGUAAAUCGGACCGCUUAACGGUUCGAAUUCCGGGUAGACUGUUAAACUUGAGACCGGGAGAAGUUAGAGGUACUCCUGGGGUAGAGGUGAAAUUCUGUAAUCCUAGGGGACCACCAGUGGCGAAGGCGUCUAACUAGAACGGGUCUGACGGUGAGGGACGAAGCCCUGGGGCGCAAACGGGAUUAGAUACCCCCGUAGU
RNAcentral lists this ribosomal RNA (413 nucleotides) under uncultured microorganism. Its description in RNAcentral is "bacterial SSU rRNA". It matches the Rfam family "Archaeal small subunit ribosomal RNA", at positions 330 to 745 of the family's 1478-position model. The record is from RNAcentral.